RNAcentral lists this ribosomal RNA (720 nucleotides) under uncultured Candidatus Scalindua sp. Its description in RNAcentral is "bacterial SSU rRNA". It matches the Rfam family "Bacterial small subunit ribosomal RNA", at positions 565 to 1274 of the family's 1533-position model. Lineage: Bacteria; Pseudomonadati; Planctomycetota; Candidatus Brocadiia; Candidatus Brocadiales; Candidatus Scalinduaceae. The record is from RNAcentral.
GAGCACGUAGGUGGGUUUGUAAGUCAGAUGUGAAAGCCUUCUGUUCAACGGAAGAAUUGCAUCUGAAACUGCUAAUCUUGAGUAUAGGAGGGGAGAAUGGAACUUCUGGUGGAGCGGUGAAAUGCGUAGAUAUCAGAAGGAACGCCGGCGGCGAAAGCGUUUCUCUGGCCUAUUACUGACACUCAGUGUGCGAAAGCUAGGGGAGCAAACGGGAUUAGAUACCCCGGUAGUCCUAGCCGUAAACGAUGGGCACUAAGUAGAGGGAAUUACCGAUGUUCUCUCUGCCGUAGCUAACGCAUUAAGUGCCCCGCCUGGGGAGUACGGCCGCAAGGCUAAAACUCAAAAGAAUUGACGGGGGCUCGCACAAGCGGUGGAGCAUGUGGCUUAAUUCGAUGCAACGCGAAAAACCUUACCGGGGCUUGACAUGAUAGAAGUAGGAACCUGAAAGGGGGACAAACGGUAUCCAGUCCGUAGCUAUUACAGGUGUUGCAUGGCUGUCGUCAGCUCGUGUCGUGAGACGUUGGGUUAAGUCCCCUAACGAGCGAAACCCUUGUUUUUAGUUACCAGCGGGUUAUGCCGGGUACUCUAGAAAGACUGCCGUCGUCAAGACGGAGGAAGGUGGGGAUGACGUCAAGUCAUCAUGGCCCUUAUGCCCCGGGCUGCACACGUGCUACAAUGGUCGGUACAAACGGAAGCGAAGCCGAGAGGUGAAGCGAAUCC